CCCACACUCAUGUGUGUAAGACCUCAAAAGAUCACCAUUAAAUUUGGCAUACAUAUAUAAAAAAGUUAUUAUAUGGGUGUGAGACUUGACUUUUUUAGAGAUCUGUGUCAAAUUUAAUGGUGAUCGUUUGGGGUCUUACACACAUAGGUGUGGG
This 154-nucleotide microRNA precursor is filed under the name Amborella trichopoda. RNAcentral describes it as "MIR8565 microRNA precursor family". It matches the Rfam family "MIR8565 microRNA precursor family". The record is from Rfam by way of RNAcentral. Lineage: Eukaryota; Viridiplantae; Streptophyta; Magnoliopsida; Amborellales; Amborellaceae.